This 941-nucleotide ribosomal RNA is filed under the name uncultured bacterium. RNAcentral describes it as "bacterial SSU rRNA". It matches the Rfam family "Bacterial small subunit ribosomal RNA", at positions 1 to 916 of the family's 1533-position model. The record is from RNAcentral.
CCAGAGUUUGAUCAUGGCUCAGGACGAACGCUGGCGGCGUGCUUAACACAUGCAAGUCGAACGGAGAGGGAUGGGAGCUUGCUCCUAUUAAUCUUAGUGGCGAACGGGUGAGUAACGCGUAACCAACCUGCCCUUCAGUGGGGGAUAACAACGGGAAACCGUUGCUAAUACCGCGUACGAUUUCCGAGUGGCAUCGCUUGGAAAUGAAAGGUGGCCUCUAUUUAUAAGCUAUCGCUGAAGGAGGGGGUUGCGUCUGAUUAGCUAGUUGGAGGGGUAACGGCCCACCAAGGCAAUGAUCAGUAGCCGGUCUGAGAGGGUGAACGGCCACAUUGGGACUGAGACACGGCCCAAACUCCUACGGGAGGCAGCAGUGGGGAAUCUUCCGCAAUGGACGAAAGUCUGACGGAGCAACGCCGCGUGAGUGAUGACGGUCUUCGGAUUGUAAAGCUCUGUUAAUCGGGACGAAAGAGCUCUGUGUGAAUAAUGCAGAGAAGUGACGGUACCGGAAUAGAAAGCCACGGCUAACUACGUGCCAGCAGCCGCGGUAAUACGUAGGUGGCAAGCGUUGUCUGGAAUUAUUGGGCGUAAAGCGCGCGCAGGCGGGUUUUUAAGUCUGUCUUAAAAGUUCGGGGCUUAACCCCGUGAGGGGAUGGAAACUGGAAACCUAGAGUAUCGGAGAGGAAAGCGGAAUUCCUAGUGUAGCGGUGAAAUGCGUAGAUAUUUGGAAGAACACCAGUGGCGAAGGCGGCUUUCUGGACGAAAACUGACGCUGAGGCGCGAAAGCCAGGGGAGCAAACGGGAUUAGAUACCCCGGUAGUCCUGGCCGUAAACGAUGGGUACUAGGUGUAGGAGGUAUCGACCCCUUCUGUGCCGGAGUUAACGCAAUAAGUACCCCGCCUGGGGAGUACGAUCGCAAGGUUGAAACUCAAAUGAAUUGACGG